CGCACCAGACGGGGAGAUAGCGGUGCCCUGAACCUGCAAUCCGCUGCAGCAGGGUUGGAUUCCCGUUUUGAGGCGUGUGCCUGUGAGGCAGGUACCGGUAAGGGGUGUUGAUUGUCGGGUCCCGUGCAAUCUGCGUCUGUGAACCAUGUCAGGUCUUGACGGAAGCAGCAUUAAGCAGUUAAGCAGGUGUGCCGCGGGUUCGCCUGAAGGGAGCCGCCUGCCGGGGUUCCGCUCGGAGGUAUACGUCGAUUUACGGGUGUGC
This 262-nucleotide signal recognition particle RNA is filed under the name human gut metagenome. RNAcentral describes it as "Bacterial large signal recognition particle RNA". It matches the Rfam family "Bacterial large signal recognition particle RNA". From Rfam's summary of the family: The signal recognition particle (SRP) is a universally conserved ribonucleoprotein involved in the co-translational targeting of proteins to membranes. The record is from RNAcentral.